GUGGCAAAAUUACUAGAUGGGGGAUGCAUAACUCAAUAUACUUUGCUGGUGGCAUCUUGCUUAGGUGGAAUGAAGCUAGGUUUAAGUCCUUAAGACAUGAAAUUAUAUCACCUUUCUAUCACUAUUCAUUAUCUAUAUAGACUUCUCAACAUCACUUGGACCUUUGCCAUCAUUAAUGGGCCUACAAAAUAUGAUCCAAUCUUUUUUGGAGGGAGUUGAGACAUCAGAGCUUUGUUCAGUGGACUAUGGAUCAUAGGAGAAGACUUUAAUGCAACUAAUAAAAUCCAUAAGAGGAAUGGGUCACCAUAAUCAAAUAA
RNAcentral lists this long non-coding RNA (317 nucleotides) under Elaeis guineensis (African oil palm). Its description in RNAcentral is "long non-coding RNA (EGUI_LNC049368)". The record is from RNAcentral. Lineage: Eukaryota; Viridiplantae; Streptophyta; Magnoliopsida; Arecales; Arecaceae.